This 63-nucleotide transfer RNA is filed under the name Fredericella sp. 3 HH-2013. RNAcentral describes it as "tRNA-Glu". The record is from RNAcentral. Lineage: Eukaryota; Metazoa; Bryozoa; Phylactolaemata; Fredericellidae.
UUGCUGUAGUGUAAAGAAGCACAGUAUCUUUUCAUGAUACAAGAGUAGAAUUCUACCAGCAGU